Non-coding RNA from Malus domestica (apple), 552 nucleotides. The record is from RefSeq and is a predicted model, not a curated record. NCBI's taxonomy places the organism in Eukaryota, Viridiplantae, Streptophyta, Magnoliopsida, Rosales, Rosaceae.
AUUUUCUAAAUUUUAAAACUUCUUUGAGUUUCUCUUGUAUCCAAAGAAAAUUUGUAAACAAUUUUAAUUUCCGCAACUCAUUUAGAGAGGUGUUUGCGUAUAUCAACUUCUCAGUUCAGUCAUCCGUUCCCCAAUCAUUUGGAAGGUUUACACUUGCUUUCAGGGAGGGUUUGUCUUGGGCAGUGAAUAGGGGUUUUCAAAACUUGUCUUUUGAAAGUGAUUCAUUUUAGAUUGUGGAGGCGGUGAAGAAUCCAAUCCUAAAUUUGUCAUCAGUUGGGCAAAUUGUGGAGGAUAUCAAAGCAUUACUCCAAUCAAUCACUGAAGCUACUGUUACCCAUACUCGUCGCAAUGCAAACUCUGUCACUCAUCACCUUGUGCGGACCGGACUCUCUUUGAGCCAAAGCUGUGAAUGGCAUGGUUCUCCUCGAAGUAUUCUUAUUGAUAUACUUGUAGAAGAAUGUGUUAGGCAUUGAUUAAAAAAUUGUACAUUGUUUCUACUCUUUUUGAUGAAAUGAAAUCUACUUUCGUGUCUUUCAAAAAAAAAAAAAAAAA